This 253-nucleotide ribosomal RNA is filed under the name uncultured bacterium. Its description in RNAcentral is "partial 16S ribosomal RNA". It matches the Rfam family "Bacterial small subunit ribosomal RNA", at positions 524 to 776 of the family's 1533-position model. The record is from RNAcentral.
AACGUAGGAUCCGAGCGUUGUCCGGAAUCACUGGGUGUAAAGGGUGCGUAGGCGGGCUUGCGCGUCAAGGGUUAAAGACCUCGGCUCAACCGAGGGAAUGCCCUUGAUACGGCAGGCCUUGAGUGCGGGAGAGGAUGGUGGAAUUCCUGGUGUAGUGGGAAAAGGCGUAGAGAUCAGGGGGAACACCGAAGGCGAAGGCAGCCAUAUGGUCCGCCACUGACGCUGAGGCGAGAAAGCGUGGGGAGCAAACAGG